This 141-nucleotide ribosomal RNA is filed under the name uncultured bacterium. RNAcentral describes it as "partial 16S rRNA". It matches the Rfam family "Bacterial small subunit ribosomal RNA", at positions 355 to 511 of the family's 1533-position model. The record is from RNAcentral.
UAGGGAAUCUUCCGCAAUGGGCGAAAGCCUGACGGAGCAAUGCCGCGUGGAGGCGGAAGGCCUACGGGUCGUCAACUUCUUUUCUCGGAGAAGAAACAAUGACGGUAUCUGAGGAAUAAGCAUCGGCUAACUCUGUGCCAG